RNAcentral lists this non-coding RNA (28 nucleotides) under Homo sapiens (human). Lineage: Eukaryota; Metazoa; Chordata; Mammalia; Primates; Hominidae. The record is from RNAcentral.
CUCCUGAAGUCAGCGAGACCACGAACCC